GGGGAUAACUACUGGAAACGGUAGCUAAUACCGCAUAACGUCGCAAGACCAAAGAGGGGGACCUUCGGGCCUCUUGCCAUCGGAUGUGCCCAGAUGGGAUUAGCUAGUAGGUGGGGUAACGGCUCACCUAGGCGACGAUCCCUAGCUGGUCUGAGAGGAUGACCAGCCACACUGGAACUGAGACACGGUCCAGACUCCUACGGGAGGCAGCAGUGGGGAAUAUUGCACAAUGGGCGCAAGCCUGAUGCAGCCAUGCCGCGUGUAUGAAGAAGGCCUUCGGGUUGUAAAGUACUUUCAGCGGGGAGGAAGGGAGUAAAGUUAAUACCUUUGCUCAUUGACGUUACCCGCAGAAGAAGCACCGGCUAACUCCGUGCCAGCAGCCGCGGUAAUACGGAGGGUGCAAGCGUUAAUCGGAAUUACUGGGCGUAAAGCGCACGCAGGCGGUUUGUUAAGUCAGGUGUGAAAUCCCCGGGCUCAACCUGGGAACUGCAUCUGAUACUGGCAAGCUUGAGUCUCGUAGAGGGGGGUAGAAUUCCAGGUGUAGCGGUGAAAUGCGUAGAGAUCUGGAGGAAUACCGGUGGCGAAGGCGGCCCCCUGGACGAAGACUGACGCUCAGGUGCGAAAGCGUGGGGAGCAAACAGGAUUAGAUACCCU
Molecule: ribosomal RNA, 654 nt
Filed under: uncultured bacterium
Lineage: Bacteria
Description: bacterial SSU rRNA
Rfam family: Bacterial small subunit ribosomal RNA
Source: RNAcentral